This 261-nucleotide ribosomal RNA is filed under the name uncultured prokaryote. RNAcentral's name for it is "partial 16S ribosomal RNA". It matches the Rfam family "Bacterial small subunit ribosomal RNA", at positions 524 to 784 of the family's 1533-position model. The record is from RNAcentral.
UACGGAGGAUCCGAGCGUUAUCCGGAUUUAUUGGGUUUAAAGGGUGCGUAGGUGGAUUGGUAAGUCAGUGGUGAAAGUUUGCAGCUUAACUGUAAAAUUGCCGUUGAAACUGCCGGUCUUGAGUGCAAAUGAGGUAGGCGGAAUGCGUCGUGUAGCGGUGAAAUGCUUAGAUAUGACGCAGAACUCCGAUUGCGAAGGCAGCUUACUGGGAUGCAACUGACGCUGAGGCACGAAAGCGUGGGUAUCAAGCAGGAUUAGAUA